This 275-nucleotide ribosomal RNA is filed under the name Cryptosporidium sp. bandicoot 211. RNAcentral's name for it is "partial 18S ribosomal RNA". It matches the Rfam family "Eukaryotic small subunit ribosomal RNA", at positions 476 to 777 of the family's 1831-position model. The record is from RNAcentral. Lineage: Eukaryota; Apicomplexa; Conoidasida; Eucoccidiorida; Cryptosporidiidae.
AAUAACAAUACAGGACUUUUUGGUUUUGUAAUUGGAAUGAGUUAAGUAUAAACCCCUUUACAAGUAUCAAUUGGAGGGCAAGUCUGGUGCCAGCAGCCGCGGUAAUUCCAGCUCCAAUAGCGUAUAUUAAAGUUGUUGCAGUCAAAAAGCUCGUAGUUGGAUUUCUGUUAAUAAUUUAUAUAAAAUAUUUUGAAUAUUUAUAUAACAUUAACAUAAUUCAUAUUACUAUAUUUUUUAUUAUAUGAAAUUUUACUUUGAGAAAAUUAUAGUGCUUA